AUGAAGAUUAAACAAGAGGAGGCCCUGAAGGAGACUCUCAGAGAGCAGUCACAGCCAGUUUCCAUUGUUACAUCCCUUACAGACAACUCUAUCCACCUUGAUCACGAGUUCCUGUGUUUUGAGAACAAACCCCUCAAGCAAGAUUAUCAGCGGGAGCCCACCUACAAAUGGCAGUGCUCAGAAUCGGAACACGUGACACUUCUUGGGAGAGCAGCUCUAGGGGAGGCUAUAAAACCAGUUCCAGGUUCUGGUCUCAGGAAACUUCAGAGAGCUCUUGGGAAGAGGUAG
RNAcentral lists this long non-coding RNA (288 nucleotides) under Rattus norvegicus (Norway rat). RNAcentral's name for it is "long non-coding RNA NONRATT032156". The record is from RNAcentral. Lineage: Eukaryota; Metazoa; Chordata; Mammalia; Rodentia; Muridae.